RNAcentral lists this ribosomal RNA (437 nucleotides) under uncultured bacterium. Its description in RNAcentral is "partial 16S ribosomal RNA". It matches the Rfam family "Bacterial small subunit ribosomal RNA", at positions 29 to 507 of the family's 1533-position model. The record is from RNAcentral.
AGCGAACGCUGGCGGCAGGCUUAACACAUGCAAGUCGAGCGGGCAUCCUUGUGGUGUCAGCGGCAGACGGGUGAGUAACGCGUGGGAACGUGCCCUUCGGUUCGGAAUAACUCAGGGAAACUUGAGCUAAUACCGGAUACGUGCGAGAGCAGAAAGGUUUAUCUGCCGAAGGAUCGGCCCGCGUCUGAUUAGCUAGUUGGUGAGGUUAUGGCUCACCAAGGCGACGAUCAGUAGCUGGUCUGAGAGGAUGAUCAGCCACACUGGGACUGAGACACGGCCCAGACUCCUACGGGAGGCAGCAGUGGGGAAUAUUGGACUAUGGGGGCAACCCUGAUCCAGCCAUGCCGCGUGAGUGAUGACGGCCUUAGGGUUGUAAAGCUCUUUUCUCCGGGACGAUAAUGACGUUACCGGAGGAAUAAGCCCCGGCUAACUUCGUG